RNAcentral lists this long non-coding RNA (636 nucleotides) under Homo sapiens (human). RNAcentral describes it as "HSALNT0290281". The record is from RNAcentral. Lineage: Eukaryota; Metazoa; Chordata; Mammalia; Primates; Hominidae.
UGAUUCUCCUGCCUCAGUCUCCCGAGUAGCUGGGAUUACAGAUGAGAAAAUGGAGUCUUGGAAGGCAAAGUGACACCAUGCUGGAAGAAGAGCAGAGAGGAAUUGGAACCCACUCAGGACCUUGGAAAUCUUCAUCUUUCUGGAAGGGCCAACCAGGCAUUCAUCCUUGGCCUCCACUGGCUCCUUCUCUGUCUCCAAAGAUUUUAAAUAACGUGGCAGGCAAGGCUGCCUGAAGGCUGGGACAAGCGAUGGUCCCUGGGCUCCUCCCCAGAGCUCGACUUCUCCUACGCUGGAGCUGUCUCCACAGGCCCCCCUGUGUACAGUGCAGGAUUGGAAGGAGCACUGGACGGGGAGUCAGUGGAGCAGAUCAUUGAACCUCCUGAUCCGUGGAAGGUGGCUGCUUGCAAAGUUCUGAUGACAUCACAUGGAUGUGUGUUGGCCGGGUAUUCCCUGGGGAAUGAGCUUAGCGCGGAAGCAGAAGAGUUGCAUUUUCUAAACCACCAGCUAAGUGGCAGGUGCGUACACAUCAUCCUGUGUAAUCCCUAAGCUUGUCCCAUGUGGUAGCAAGUUCCUUUUAUUAUCUCCAUCUCCUGGAGGCUCAGAUUGGCAAAGGGGACAGAGCUUGCAAGCAUUCAG